AUUGAACGCUGGCGGCAUGCCUUACACAUGCAAGUCGAACGGUAACGGGCCUUCGGGUGCCGACGAGUGGCGAACGGGUGAGUAAUACAUCGGAACGUGCCCGAUCGUGGGGGAUAACGAGGCGAAAGCUUUGCUAAUACCGCAUACGAUCUACGGAUGAAAGCAGGGGACCGCAAGGCCUUGCGCGGACGGAGCGGCCGAUGGCAGAUUAGGUAGUUGGUGGGAUAAAAGCUUACCAAGCCGACGAUCUGUAGCUGGUCUGAGAGGAUGAUCAGCCACACUGGGAAUGAGAAACGGCCCAGACUCCUACGGGAGGCAGCAGUGGGGAAUUUUGGACAAUGGGCGCAAGCCUGAUCCAGCCAUGCCGCGUGCAGGAUGAAGGCCUUCGGGUUGUAAAAUGCUUUUGUACGGAACGAAAAGCCUUCUUUUAAUACAGGAGGGUCAUGACGGUACCGUAAGAAUAAGCACCGGCUAACUACGUG
Molecule: ribosomal RNA, 482 nt
Filed under: uncultured bacterium
Lineage: Bacteria
Description: partial 16S ribosomal RNA
Rfam family: Bacterial small subunit ribosomal RNA
Source: RNAcentral